UGGGGAAUCUUCCGCAAUGGACGAAAGUCUGACGGAGCAACGCCGCGUGAGUGAAGAAGGUUUUCGGAUCGUAAAACUCUGUCUUUUGGGGGCGAACGUGAGUAUGGUGAACAAUCAUAGUCAGUGACGGUACCAAAGGAGGAAGCCACGGCUAACUACGUGCCAGCAGCCGCGGUAAUCGUAGGUGGCAAGCGUUGUCCGGAAUUAUUGGGCGUAAAGAGCGCGUAGGCGGGAUAGUCAGUCUGUUGUAAAGUGCGGGGCUCAACCCCGUGAUCGCAAUGGAAACAGCUAUUCUUGAGUGCAGGAGAGGAAAGUGGAAUUCCCAGUGUAGCGGUGAAAUGCGUAGAUAUUGGGAGGAACACCAGUGGCGAAGGCGACUUUCUGGACUGUGUCUGACGCUGAGGCGCGAAAGCCAGGGGAGCGAACGGGAUUAGAUACCCCGGUAGUCCUGGCCGUAAACGAUGGGUACUAGGUGUGGGAGGUAUCGACCCCUUGCCGUGCCGGAGUUAACGCAAUAAGUACCCC
This 525-nucleotide ribosomal RNA is filed under the name uncultured bacterium. RNAcentral describes it as "partial 16S ribosomal RNA". It matches the Rfam family "Bacterial small subunit ribosomal RNA", at positions 355 to 870 of the family's 1533-position model. The record is from RNAcentral.